UCAACUGUACUCUUGGUGGCUAGGAUAUACGGCUCUCACCCGAACGACCCGGGUUCGAGUCCCGGCAGUGGAU
This 73-nucleotide transfer RNA is filed under the name Gregarina niphandrodes. It matches the Rfam family "tRNA". From Rfam's summary of the family: Transfer RNA (tRNA) molecules are approximately 80 nucleotides in length. The record is from Rfam by way of RNAcentral. Lineage: Eukaryota; Apicomplexa; Conoidasida; Eugregarinorida; Gregarinidae.